This 362-nucleotide long non-coding RNA is filed under the name Pongo abelii (Sumatran orangutan). Its description in RNAcentral is "lincRNA". Lineage: Eukaryota; Metazoa; Chordata; Mammalia; Primates; Hominidae. The record is from RNAcentral.
GGGCCAUUGAGAAUGCUCAUUUUCGGCUUUGCAAGAUACGAGUUAGUUUUUCAAAGUAGGCAUGUAAGAAAACAUUCCCACCAGACUCUGGUGGAAAAAAAAAUAUAUAUAUAUAUACAUAUAUUUGUUUAAAAAAUGAAUUAUUUGUAUUCAAAAGGAGAAGAAACUUCCUUCUGGCAUUUUUGGAGGUGAUCUCUGCACACGCUGGAUGUAAGAUGAUGGAUGUGUUAACUAGCUUGAUUUUGGUAAUCAUUUCACACUGUAUAUAUAUCAAGUCAUGUUAUACACCUUAAAUAUAUACCGUUUGGUAUGUUGAUUACCUCAAUAAAGCUGGGGGGUGGGGAAAGAUUUGAAAAAUGUGA